This 2789-nucleotide ribosomal RNA is filed under the name metagenome. RNAcentral's name for it is "bacterial LSU rRNA". It matches the Rfam family "Bacterial large subunit ribosomal RNA". The record is from RNAcentral.
AGCGUACACGGUGGAUGCCCUGGCAGUCAGAGGCGAUGAAGGACGUGCUAAUCUGCGAUAAGCGUCGGUAAGGUGAUAUGAACCGUUAUAACCGGCGAUUUCCGAAUGGGGAAACCCAGUGUGUUUCGACACACUAUCAUUAACUGAAUCCAUAGGUUAAUGAGGCGAACCGGGGGAACUGAAACAUCUAAGUACCCCGAGGAAAAGAAAUCAACCGAGAUUCCCCCAGUAGCGGCGAGCGAACGGGGAGCAGCCCAGAGCCUGAAUCAGUAUGUGUGUUAGUGGAAGCGUCUGGAAAGGCGCGCGAUACAGGGUGACAGCCCCGUACACAAAAAUGCACAUAUUGUGAGCUCGAUGAGUAGGGCGGGACACGUGGUAUCCUGUCUGAAUAUGGGGGGACCAUCCUCCAAGGCUAAAUACUCCUGACUGACCGAUAGUGAACCAGUACCGUGAGGGAAAGGCGAAAAGAACCCCGGCGAGGGGAGUGAAAAAGAACCUGAAACCGUGUACGUACAAGCAGUGGGAGCACGCUUAGGCGUGUGACUGCGUACCUUUUGUAUAAUGGGUCAGCGACUUAUAUUCUGUAGCAAGGUUAACCGAAUAGGGGAGCCGAAGGGAAACCGAGUCUUAACUGGGCGUUAAGUUGCAGGGUAUAGACCCGAAACCCGGUGAUCUAGCCAUGGGCAGGUUGAAGGUUGGGUAACACUAACUGGAGGACCGAACCGACUAAUGUUGAAAAAUUAGCGGAUGACUUGUGGCUGGGGGUGAAAGGCCAAUCAAACCGGGAGAUAGCUGGUUCUCCCCGAAAGCUAUUUAGGUAGCGCCUCGUGAAUUCAUCUCCGGGGGUAGAGCACUGUUUCGGCAAGGGGGUCAUCCCGACUUACCAACCCGAUGCAAACUGCGAAUACCGGAGAAUGUUAUCACGGGAGACACACGGCGGGUGCUAACGUCCGUCGUGAAGAGGGAAACAACCCAGACCGCCAGCUAAGGUCCCAAAGUCAUGGUUAAGUGGGAAACGAUGUGGGAAGGCCCAGACAGCCAGGAUGUUGGCUUAGAAGCAGCCAUCAUUUAAAGAAAGCGUAAUAGCUCACUGGUCGAGUCGGCCUGCGCGGAAGAUGUAACGGGGCUAAACCAUGCACCGAAGCUGCGGCAGCGACGCUGAUGCGUUGUUGGGUAGGGGAGCGUUCUGUAAGCCUGCGAAGGUGUGCUGUGAGGCAUGCUGGAGGUAUCAGAAGUGCGAAUGCUGACAUAAGUAACGAUAAAGCGGGUGAAAAGCCCGCUCGCCGGAAGACCAAGGGUUCCUGUCCAACGUUAAUCGGGGCAGGGUGAGUCGACCCCUAAGGCGAGGCCGAAAGGCGUAGUCGAUGGGAAACAGGUUAAUAUUCCUGUACUUGGUGUUACUGCGAAGGGGGGACGGAGAAGGCUAUGUUGGCCGGGCGACGGUUGUCCCGGUUUAAGCGUGUAGGCUGGUUUUCCAGGCAAAUCCGGAAAAUCAAGGCUGAGGCGUGAUGACGAGGCACUACGGUGCUGAAGCAACAAAUGCCCUGCUUCCAGGAAAAGCCUCUAAGCAUCAGGUAACAUCAAAUCGUACCCCAAACCGACACAGGUGGUCAGGUAGAGAAUACCAAGGCGCUUGAGAGAACUCGGGUGAAGGAACUAGGCAAAAUGGUGCCGUAACUUCGGGAGAAGGCACGCUGAUAUGUAGGUGAAGUCCCUCGCGGAUGGAGCUGAAAUCAGUCGAAGAUACCAGCUGGCUGCAACUGUUUAUUAAAAACACAGCACUGUGCAAACACGAAAGUGGACGUAUACGGUGUGACGCCUGCCCGGUGCCGGAAGGUUAAUUGAUGGGGUUAGCCGCAAGGCGAAGCUCUUGAUCGAAGCCCCGGUAAACGGCGGCCGUAACUAUAACGGUCCUAAGGUAGCGAAAUUCCUUGUCGGGUAAGUUCCGACCUGCACGAAUGGCGUAAUGAUGGCCAGGCUGUCUCCACCCGAGACUCAGUGAAAUUGAACUCGCUGUGAAGAUGCAGUGUACCCGCGGCAAGACGGAAAGACCCCGUGAACCUUUACUAUAGCUUGACACUGAACAUUGAGCCUUGAUGUGUAGGAUAGGUGGGAGGCUUAGAAGUGUGGACGCCAGUCUGCAUGGAGCCGACCUUGAAAUACCACCCUUUAAUGUUUGAUGUUCUAACGUUGACCCGUAAUCCGGGUUGCGGACAGUGUCUGGUGGGUAGUUUGACUGGGGCGGUCUCCUCCUAAAGAGUAACGGAGGAGCACGAAGGUUGGCUAAUCCUGGUCGGACAUCAGGAGGUUAGUGCAAUGGCAUAAGCCAGCUUGACUGCGAGCGUGACGGCGCGAGCAGGUGCGAAAGCAGGUCAUAGUGAUCCGGUGGUUCUGAAUGGAAGGGCCAUCGCUCAACGGAUAAAAGGUACUCCGGGGAUAACAGGCUGAUACCGCCCAAGAGUUCAUAUCGACGGCGGUGUUUGGCACCUCGAUGUCGGCUCAUCACAUCCUGGGGCUGAAGUAGGUCCCAAGGGUAUGGCUGUUCGCCAUUUAAAGUGGUACGCGAGCUGGGUUUAGAACGUCGUGAGACAGUUCGGUCCCUAUCUGCCGUGGGCGCUGGAGAACUGAGGGGGGCUGCUCCUAGUACGAGAGGACCGGAGUGGACGCAUCACUGGUGUUCGGGUUGUCAUGCCAAUGGCACUGCCCGGUAGCUAAAUGCGGAAGAGAUAAGUGCUGAAAGCAUCUAAGCACGAAACUUGCCCCGAGAUGAGUUCUCCCUGACUCCUUGA